This 433-nucleotide ribosomal RNA is filed under the name uncultured bacterium. RNAcentral describes it as "partial 16S ribosomal RNA". It matches the Rfam family "Bacterial small subunit ribosomal RNA", at positions 29 to 507 of the family's 1533-position model. The record is from RNAcentral.
AACGAACGCUGGCGGCAUGCCUAACACAUGCAAGUCGAACGAGACCUUCGGGUCUAGUGGCGCACGGGUGCGUAACGCGUGGGAACCUGCCCUUAGGUUCGGAAUAACUCCCCGAAAGGGGUGCUAAUACCGGAUAAUGUCUUCGGACCAAAGAUUUAUCGCCUUUGGAUGGGCCCGCGUUGGAUUAGCUAGUUGGUAGGGUAAAAGCCUACCAAGGCGACGAUCCAUAGCUGGUCGGAGAGGAUGAUCAGCCACACUGGGACUGAGACACGGCCCAGACUCCUACGGGAGGCAGCAGUGGGGAAUAUUGGACAAUGGGCGAAAGCCUGAUCCAGCAAUGCCGCGUGAGUGAUGAAGGCCUUAGGGUUGUAAAGCUCUUUUACCCGGGAUGAUAAUGACAGUACCGGGAGAAUAAGCUCCGGCUAACUCCGUG